RNAcentral lists this ribosomal RNA (420 nucleotides) under uncultured bacterium. Its description in RNAcentral is "bacterial SSU rRNA". It matches the Rfam family "Bacterial small subunit ribosomal RNA", at positions 355 to 774 of the family's 1533-position model. The record is from RNAcentral.
UAAGGAAUAUUGCUCAAUGGGAGAAAUCCUGAAGCAGCAACGCCGCGUGGAGGAUGAAGGGUCUAUGACUUGUAAACUCCUGUAAAGAAGGAAAAAAUUCCCAUUAGAUGGGAGAUGAUGGUACUUCUGGAGUAAGCUCCGGCUAACUACGUGCCAGCAGCCGCGGUAAUACGUAGGGAGCAAGCGUUGUCCGGAUUUACUGGGUGUAAAGGGUGCUCAGGCGGAUUUGUAAGUCAGAGGUGAAAUCUCACAGCUUAACUGUGAAACUGCCUUUGAUACUGCAAGCCUAGAGUAUGGAAGAGAGUGAUGGAAUAUCUGGUGUAGCAGUGAAAUGCGUAGAUAUCAGAUAGAACACCAAUGGCGAAGGCAGUCACUUGGUCCAUUACUGACGCUAAAGCACGAAAGCGUGGGUAGCAAACA